UGGGGAAUCUUGGACAAUGGGGGCAACCCUGAUCCAGCCAUGCCGCGUGAGUGAUGAAGGCCCUAGGGUUGUAAAGCUCUUUCAACGGUGAAGAUAAUGACGGUACCUAGUAAAGAAGUCCCGGCUAACUCCGUGCCAGCAGCCGCGGUAAUACGGAGGGGGUUAGCGUUGUUCGGAAUUACUGGGCGUAAAGCGCACGUAGGCGGACCAGAAAGUUGGGGGUGAAAUCCCGGGGGCUCAACCCCGGAACUGCCUCCAAAACUAUUGGUCUAGAGUUCGAGAGAGGUGAGUGGAAUUCCAAGUGUAGAGGUGAAAUUCGUAGAUAUUUGGAGGAACACCAGUGGCGAAGGCGGCUCACUGGCUCGAUACUGACGCUGAGGUGCGAAAGUGUGGGGAGCAAACAGGAUUAGAUACCCUGGUAGUCCACACCGUAAAACGAUGAAUGCCAGUCGUCGGGUAGCAUGCUAUUCGGUGACACACCUAACGGAUUAAGCAUU
Molecule: ribosomal RNA, 497 nt
Filed under: uncultured bacterium
Lineage: Bacteria
Description: bacterial SSU rRNA
Rfam family: Bacterial small subunit ribosomal RNA
Source: RNAcentral